This 853-nucleotide ribosomal RNA is filed under the name uncultured bacterium. Its description in RNAcentral is "bacterial SSU rRNA". It matches the Rfam family "Bacterial small subunit ribosomal RNA", at positions 28 to 897 of the family's 1533-position model. The record is from RNAcentral.
GACGAACGCUGGCGGCGUGCUUAACACAUGCAAGUCGAGCGAUGAAGCUUCCUUCGGGAAGUGGAUUAGCGGCGGACGGGUGAGUAACACGUGGGCAACCUGCCUCAAAGAGGGGAAUAGCCCUCCGAAAGGAGGAUUAAUACCGCAUAAAGUUAGAGUUUCGCAUGAAACUUUAACCAAAGGAGUAAUCUGCUUUGAGAUGGGCCCGCGUCCCAUUAGCUAGUUGGUAGGGUAAUGGCUUACCAAGGCAACGAUGGGUAGCCGACCUGAGAGGGUGAUCGGCCACAUUGGAACUGAGACACGGUCCAGACUCCUACGGGAGGCAGCAGUGGGGAAUAUUGCGCAAUGGGGGAAACCCUGACGCAGCAACGCCGCGUGGGUGAUGAAGGUUUUCGGAUCGUAAAACCCUGUUUUCUGGGACGAUAAUGACGGUACCAGAUGAGGAAGCCACGGCUAACUACGUGCCAGCAGCCGCGGUAAUACGUAGGUGGCAAGCGUUGUCCGGAUUUACUGGGCGUAAAGGGUGCGUAGGCGGAUGCUUAAGUGAGAUGUGAAAUACCUAGGCUUAACUUAGGGGCUGCAUUUCAAACUGGGCAUCUAGAGUACAGGAGAGGGAAACGGAAUUCCUAGUGUAGCGGUGAAAUGCGUAGAGAUUAGGAAGAACACCAGUGGCGAAGGCGGUUUCCUGGACUGUAACUGACGCUGAGGCACGAAAGCGUGGGUAGCAAACAGGAUUAGAUACCCUGGUAGUCCACGCCGUAAACGAUGAAUACUAGGUGUAGGAGGGUCCAACCUUCUGUGCCGCAGUUAACACAUUAAGUAUUCCGCCUGGGGAGUACGGUCGCAAGACUAA